RNAcentral lists this ribosomal RNA (492 nucleotides) under uncultured bacterium. RNAcentral describes it as "partial 16S ribosomal RNA". It matches the Rfam family "Bacterial small subunit ribosomal RNA", at positions 29 to 507 of the family's 1533-position model. The record is from RNAcentral.
AGUGAACGCUGGCGGUAGGCCUAACACAUGCAAGUCGAACGGCAGCACAGUAAGAGCUUGCUCUUACGGUUGGCGAGUGGCGGACGGGUGAGGAAUACAUCGGAAUCUACUUUUUCGUGGGGGAUAACGUAGGGAAACUUACGCUAAUACCGCAUACGACCUACGGGUGAAAGCAGGGGAUCUUCGGACCUUGCGCGAUUGAAUGAGCCGAUGUCGGAUUAGCUAGUUGGCGGGGUAAAGGCCCACCAAGGCGACGAUCCGUAGCUGGUCUGAGAGGAUGAUCGGCCACACUGGAACUGAGACACGGUCCAGACUCCUACGGGAAGCAGCAGGAGGGAAUCUUCCGAAAUCGGCGAAAGCCUGACGGAGCAAUGCCGCGUGAGGGAAGAAGGUCUUCGGGUCGGAAAACUCUGGUAUUAGGGAAGAACAAAAGUGCAAGUAAAUAUGCACGUCUUGACGGUAACUAAACAAAAAGCAACGGCUAACUACGUG